AUUGAACGCUGGCGGAAUGCUUUACACAUGCAAGUCGAACGGCAGCACGGGGCAACCUGGUGGCGAGUGGCGAACGGGUGAGUAAUACAUCGGAACGUGCCCAAUCGUGGGGGAUAACGUAGCGAAAGUUACGCUAAUACCGCAUACGAUCUACGGAUGAAAGCGGGGGAUCGCAAGACCUCGCGCGAGUGGAGCGGCCGAUGUCAGAUUAGGUAGUUGGUGGGGUAAAGGCUCACCAAGCCAACGAUCUGUAGCUGGUCUGAGAGGACGACCAGCCACACUGGAACUGAGACACGGUCCAGACUCCUACGGGAGGCAGCAGUGGGGAAUUUUGGACAAUGGGCGCAAGCCUGAUCCAGCCAUUCCGCGUGCAGGAUGAAGGCCUUCGGGUUGUAAACUGCUUUUGUACGGUAACGAAACGGCAAGCUCUAAUACAGUUUGCUAAUGACGGUACCGUAAGAAUAAGCACCGGCUAACUACGUGCCAGCAGCCGCGGU
RNAcentral lists this ribosomal RNA (497 nucleotides) under uncultured bacterium. RNAcentral describes it as "bacterial SSU rRNA". It matches the Rfam family "Bacterial small subunit ribosomal RNA", at positions 30 to 521 of the family's 1533-position model. The record is from RNAcentral.